CAGACGUGUUCUCUUCCGCUUUCAAAAAUAAGAUAUCAUUCUGAAUCUACAAAGACUAAGUGACCGACGUUCAACAUCGUUCGAUUGAUCAACUCUUCCGAACUUGAGGUGAGGCCCUGGUCCAGAAUUGUACUGACGCGGACCGACACGAU
This 152-nucleotide long non-coding RNA is filed under the name Neodiprion pinetum (white pine sawfly). RNAcentral's name for it is "uncharacterized LOC124219331". The record is from RNAcentral. Lineage: Eukaryota; Metazoa; Arthropoda; Insecta; Hymenoptera; Diprionidae.